GUGGGGAAUAUUGCACAAUGGGCGCAAGCCUGAUGCAGCGACGCCGCGUGCGGGAUGACGGCCUUCGGGUUGUAAACCGCUUUCAGUACAGAAGAAGCCCUUUUUGGGUGACGGUAUGUGCAGAAGAAGCGCCGGCUAACUACGUGCCAGCAGCCGCGGUAAUACGUAGGGCGCGAGCGUUAUCCGGAAUUAUUGGGCGUAAAGAGCUUGUAGGCGGUUUGUCACGUCUGCUGUGAAAGCCCGGGGCUUAACUCCGGGUGUGCAGUGGGUACGGGCAGGCUAGAGUGCAGUAGGGGAGACUGGAAUUCCUGGUGUAGCGGUGAAAUGCGCAGAUAUCAGGAGGAACACCGAUGGCGAAGGCAGGUCUCUGGGCUGUUACUGACGCUGAGAAGCGAAAGCAUGGGUAGCGAACAGGAUUAGAAACCCUAGUAGUCC
RNAcentral lists this ribosomal RNA (435 nucleotides) under uncultured Nesterenkonia sp. Its description in RNAcentral is "bacterial SSU rRNA". It matches the Rfam family "Bacterial small subunit ribosomal RNA", at positions 354 to 796 of the family's 1533-position model. The record is from RNAcentral. Lineage: Bacteria; Bacillati; Actinomycetota; Actinomycetes; Micrococcales; Micrococcaceae.